GACGAACGUUGGCGGCGUGCUUAAUACAUGCAAGUCAACUGAAGCAGUGGUAGCAAUAUCGCUGUGGAGGUGGCGCACGGGUGAGUAACACGUAGGUAAUCUGCCUUCAGGUCUGGCAUAACUCCGGGAAACCGGGGCUAAUAGCAGAUGAUGCAGCGGCUCGACAUCGAGACAGUUGUUAAAGCUAUGUCGCCUGAAGAUGAGCCUGCGUCUGAUUAGCUAGUUGGCGGGGUAACGGCCCACCAAGGCAACGAUCAGUAGCUGGUCUGAGAGGGUGAUCAGCCACACUGGAACUGAGACACGGUCCAGACUCCUACGGGAGGCAGCAGUAAGGAAUAUUGCUCAAUGGGAGAAAUCCUGAAGCAGCAACGCCGCGUGAGGGACGAAGGGCUUUUGCUUGUAAACCUCUGUAGUGAGAGAAAAAAAUCCCAAUCUUUGGGACAUGAUGGUAUCUCAAAAGUAAGCCCCGGCUAACUACGUG
Molecule: ribosomal RNA, 481 nt
Filed under: uncultured bacterium
Lineage: Bacteria
Description: partial 16S ribosomal RNA
Rfam family: Bacterial small subunit ribosomal RNA
Source: RNAcentral